Misgurnus anguillicaudatus (oriental weatherfish) is the source of this 4630-nucleotide non-coding RNA. The record is from RefSeq and is a predicted model, not a curated record. NCBI's taxonomy places the organism in Eukaryota, Metazoa, Chordata, Actinopteri, Cypriniformes, Cobitidae.
ACUUAAUGCCUGUCAAACACACAAUAACAAAAUUAACCAAAUUAAAUCGAAUUAAAGAAUAAAGAAACAAAACCAAUUGUCACUGAAACAAACAGAAAGAAAACAUAUGCUCACGCCAGUACGCUGGCAAUAAUACAAAAAUGAAUCCAAAACAACAAGUAAAUCAACUGAAAACAUAACUGGACCAUAUAAGUGCAAAACAGUUGUCACAGGUGACGGUUUGUGAGGGCGGAACCAAAAGUGUGGAAGACGGGUUCCGCCCGUCGAUGGUUCCGCCCGGACGCUUCACUUAGAACACCGGAAUGUCCGGGGUUUCCCCGAAACCAAAAUUAAGCCUGAUCACGCUCAGGUGGGGCGAAUUAACACAGCGGUUGCUAAUAGGCUGACAAGGAGAAGAGUCAGUGUAUAAAAACACCUUUGCAGACAUCAAACGGGGUGCUUGUGGUAUACUUUGUAUACGCUGUGUUGCUGCUUUGCAGACGGACCAAGCUGGUCGGAUCGCUCUCCUGGGGAAGAGAGGAAGAGACAGUCAGCUGACGAAGGAAUAUUGUGGAGUUUCAUUUGAGAAAGAGUGGACACAGAGCCAUCAAGAGUGCAGUUAAUAGCAGUUGUUGACAACCAAGUGUGAGUAACAGCUGUGGUACUUAUCUGUGCAAUACUGGUACGAAGAGUUGUUUUGGUGUGUGCCUUUGUGUUUUUGAGGUCCCUGGCCCCACUGGAGAGGGGAAGCGUGGGCGAGCCGCGGGUUGACCGGAAGCACGGACGAAGCACUGGUAGGAAGCACCGUUCACCAGUAAAACCGUGGCCCUGUGGGAAAAAGGAAGCGCAGGUGAGCCAGAGGAGUGAUAACCAAAGAUGUAUAAAGUACUAGGGACCCAGACUUGAGUAAAAGUACAAGUACUCUAUCAAAAAAGUGACUUGAGUAGAAGUUGAAGGGCUCUUUAAGCACAGCACUUGAGUGGAAGUACUAAAGUAUUAAACAUGUUUUGUACUUAAGUAUUGCAAGUAGUUUUUUUAAAAAUAUACUACUCAAGUACUGAAAGUAAAAGUACAAGUAUUGUGUAAUGUAGUUAUUAAAGAAAACAGUCAAAAGUUUGAAUAUAAUAUUGUUUAUAUUAUUUCAAAUGUUUAAGCUAAAUGACACUCACAAUUCCUUUGGCUGUAGCAGGAGUACAAGGACAUGAAUGUUCAGAUAAUUCAGAUUAAUUUAACUGAUAUGGAGAUAGAGAAUUCAGAAUUAAUGAAAUAUUAGUCGAUAUAAUGGUAAUAGGUAAAGGUAAAAGGUGUUUCAAUGUAUUUAGGUUUCCUUCUUUCGCGCACACUCGCCCUUUCUCGCGCAUUCUCUCGGUCUUUCUCGCGCACUUUGGUUCUCUCUUCGCUUCACAUUUGUCCACAACCCCGGCUCAUAUUUGUGAGUGAAAGGGAGGGAGGGGUCCGCCCUUCACUUUCUCCGAUUGGUUUAGACCACGAUCUGUGUGUGUUUCUAAUGUGGAUCACCGCUCCGGCAGAGAUAAUGUGGGUUUGGAAUGAUUCGUAACAUUUGAUUGUAACGAGUAACUAUGCAGCACAUAAAAAAUGUAUCAGAGUAAAAGUAUUAAACUCAUCGAAAAUAUGUACUGAAGUAAAAGUGGAAGUAGGAGAAAAAAAUAAUACUUCAGUAGAGUACAGAUACUGUCUUUUAGUACUUAAGUACAGUAGUGAAGUAGUUCUACUUCGUUACUAUACAUCUCUGGUGAUAACCAACACGCCGGGCCUGUGAAUAACACACAUCUCACUCUCAUCGGUGGUCCAGUUAUCGCCCAACCAUCCUCUCGAGGUCGUCGUAGCCAGGUGGCAAGGGCGAUCAAAAAAUCACGUGAAGUUGUAUAUGAGUGCUGUGGGUGAGUUUCACUGAUUGAUGGUGUUUACGCUUUACUUGCUGUGUGUAUGCUGUGCUUGUAGCGUUCAAACUGCCUAGCCUCCGACGAGUCACGAGACGACGACAUCCGUUGUGGCCUGGGUCCUAAGGAGAGCGAGAAAAUUGAGCCCUGUGCCCGGGGUGUGUCAACGAGAGCUUCGUUUGUCCAUAGAGCAGACAGUGGUGAAACCCAGUGAGUAUUAUCAAGAGUGUACCGUGCGGACUGUGGGUUGUAACGGUGUGUGUACUGACCUCUCCAACAGAAGCUCGUGGUGAGCAGAGCCCCGACGAAGGUUCGCCCCAACUCGUGACCCCGGUCGUGGAAGAAGGAGGGGGAGUUUGGGAAGCGUUCGGCUCCGUGUCAUCGGACCCACUAGUCCCUACGACGCCCGGACAGCCGGAGUGGAUGGGCGAAGGAAUACGGUGCACCGACACUGUAGCGAAAAUCCACUGUUUGCAGCAAUCACCUAUCUGUACAAGUGAAGCUCUGUGUGCAUGAAGAUCCCCAGUGCUAAAUUACCUACCUGUGCCGGUGAAGCUCUGUGUGGGAACGAAGAUCCUCCAGUGCUGUGGGUAACGUAACCUGUGGAGAGAACUUGACCUGUGGCUAUAGCCAUCACUUACCGUUCCAACGAAGGUCCCGUGUUGAACGAACAGCGACUAGUAACGAAGUACCUUACCCUUGUCUGAUUAUUAUUUGAUUCUGCCUCCAGGAGAAGCGGAGCGCGCCACGGAUUGUUGGGCCAGAGCCCCCAAAGGAGCCCCUGUCCCCAGCCUUUCCCCCAAGUGGCCCUGGAGGCGAAGAAGAGACACAUUUAGUUUUAAAUUGCCCUUUUUCCCUUCCCCCUUUCCUUUUUAAAUAUUUAAUAAAGUUUAUUUUAACUAUAGUAUACUCGUCUGUCUGGUCAUUGGGGUGGUCUUGGGAAACUCCUCGAGGUGGAAGAGUUGAGAGGGGCGUGACCUUUAGUUUAUUCGGGUCCGCCCCCGGCCGUGACACAGUACUCCCACCUCAUUAGCGGGUUCACAACCGUACUAAAAUGGGAUUCACGUUCACGCGAAUAUUCAACCAGGAACAAGACAGCGGUGACGUCACUGCAUACCCCUAUCACUCUAUAACCUAGGGGAAAAACUAAUCAUGUUAAUCAGUCGUCACAAUACAUUUAUGUAAUAGACCCACAUGAGUGAGACAUACCGAAUAACAGGCACAGGGACCCGGGAAUCAGUGGAGGUGAAGAUACUACUCCAUAGUGGCAAUGCGAAGUUUCAGUUUAAUCACUCAGCUGGUGGAGCUCAGGAUACACAAGGAGAGUAACUUGGCGUAUAAAGUCGUCAUCCGCCCAUACGCAGCAUCGUAUUGACUACGAUAAAGGCAUAAGUUACUAAUGAAAUGCAAGUCAGUCAACACGCCAUUAAAACACAACGUUACCUGAAUGUGAUCGCCUAAACAGAUGAGACACACGCCGCCGACAAGUCAAAGCCACAAUAUCUGCAGCCACGGAGAUGUUUACAGUUGCAGCAAUCAUCCUGCACAGCUGCAGAAAACCCACAUGUAUAAUCCAUGUUUUAAAGAGAUGCACAUAGCGGUAAUAGUUUCACCUACCCGAGAUAACAACAGCCCUCAGUCCAUACACCGGAAGCGAAACGGGAUACCGGGAAGUGACGCUCGUCUGGGUCACACACACGUAUGUUGUUUAUAUACCGUAAUCCAACCCCCUCUAUCGGCCCCAACCAAUGAAUAAACUAAUACCCAAUAAUGACUUCCCGAUCUCUACAUGCCACACUUUCUUAGAUUUUGAAACGAAGGAAACACGUAAUGUGUGUUGCUAAUGUUGGGCCAUGUAAUACAUUAACGUUUUAAUGAAUAGUCUAACGAUUUAUAAUCGUUGUACUCUAUUGUUAUAAUAUGUCUUUUUGACUGAAUACAUGUUUGUUUUAUUUGUCCAUAUACUAGAUUCGCAGCUGGACACAUCCUUCUACACUGUAUGCAAACAUGCAACUUUAUUACACACAGUACAAGGAGUCAGACUGGCAUAAGAGGAGCAAAGGUGUGUAACACAUAUGAUGUAUUUAGCUAGUGAAACCACUACCAGUCUUAAAUGUAUAACUGAUGAUGACAAAGUUUUUUUCUCUGCAUAAUCAUAGGAACCCAGGCAGUAGCAUCGUUUCACAAUGUUUCAAUCACCAUCAUCAGUGGAUGCCUUUGCCGUCCGUAGCCUGAGAUUUCAGAUUUGCAGCAAAAAAUGUGACUUUCCCAUUUAUUGGAAUGCUGUGCAGGUUGUACCUUGCAGCCAUUCAUUACAAUGUCACCAAGCUGGAACAAAAGCAGGAGAGGGAAAGUACAAGGCUAUGUUCCCAAAACACACAAGUGACAUACUGUAAGCAGUAAUGUUUUAUUUCAAAUACAUUCAUAAUUAAAAACUUAAUGUAUGAAGCAGGGAAAUAAAUGAUCAAAACAAAAGAUUUAUUGACUGCAAUAUUUGUACAGUUAUGUGGAUGAUGUGAUCAGGCUUGUGUUUGCCAACAUUCCGAUCAGGAAGCUCCAAGCAUAUCUGGAGAACAACAAACGACAGGAUGAUAACCCUAAAGUGUCGUCUUAGAUAGCACCAGCUGAUAAAGCUUUGAUAUGCCAUUUAUCUGAAUAGAUAGCUGUAAGAAGUGAAUUGAACAAUUUUUGAAAGAAGAGCACAAUAUGGUUACUAAAAAAUGUUUAUUUGUAUAUUGUUUAACAUUUAA